AACCACAGCUUCUCGUCGUCUCAGAGCCCCGCCCUCUAUCUCACUGUCGGAGACUUGGUGAGAAACCUGAUCAUCAGGGUGGUGCUGGUCCACUUCAUCCUGAUCACGGGGACCAUUUUCCUCUACUUCUACUGUCGGGCCAGUAGGGGGCGCUUCAGACUGAAGAGACGGAAGACAGGAUGAGAUACACAACCACCGACACAGUCUACAUCCACUAAACACCAUCCUUCUGACUGACCUGCUGAUGAUGUUCCUGAAGGUCCGAUGGACGACUGGGAUCAGCUGUGGUCCAUAAACAGUUUUUCCAGAACCUUCUUCCCCAAAACCUUCGGUCAGAAUGAAUUGGUAUUUGUUGUGGAACAUCUUUGGGCUGAGGUCGACCAAGUUUGUUCAAAGAAUUGGGAAAUAUUGAUUUGUGAAUUUUAUAUGAAUUUUUGAAAUGUUCUAAAUCCCCAUUGGUUUAUAAUGGGACCCAUUUCAAAGUGCUAUGAGUUGAAAACAGUUGAAGAUAUUGAUCUGUUCGUACUGAUUUGAUUUGAAUGCUGACCAUAAGUCUUGUGUUCUUGGAAUUGUCGGUAUCUCCUCAUAAUGUAUUUGUGUGGCUGUUGCAGGGUCAUCCCGUUGUUCCCUUUCUUUCCUCUACCAUAGAUAACAGUUUCUCACUCCAUCCUCCAUCGUCCUCUUCCCUCCCAAAUGUUCCAGGUGUUUUCUCUGAUGACAACAAUGUCUGGUUCAAGUCUGUCAUAAUUGUCACUAAAAAGCUUCAUCUCUCUAAACGCUGUCUGUACCCAUGUCCCGCAGACCGCAAAGGAUGCCCCUCCCCUUUUUCCAGCGUCGCUAAAUGUAUCCAUGACCCUAGCUGCCCUGACCUUUUUAGUUCCACGUGCAGAUGGUGUCAUUUCCCCCUCAGUGUGGAACAAACUCUACUAUAUUAGCCUCAGUCUGAGCUGACCGUGCCUUGCAGGUUAUACCAUUCACAGUUACAGUGGAUCUGAGUAUCACACGCCUACCGUCUUUGAACCGAUUAUGGUCACUCACCCCUCAGCGUAUGUUACUCCAUUGUGUUUUACCCUCCGCUGCUGGGAUGGGGCACAUUUUCUUGGUACCGCCCACCACUGUAACCACACCACCAACGGUACCUGCGGUUAUCUGAGGAAAUCCCCCCGUUUGCUCACAAACCGACUCCCUCACCGAGGUCCAGUUACUGUCCCGGUCCAACACCACGAUGGUCAUUGGCAUGUUUCCAGGACCAGUUUUUAUUUACCAAUGAUGACAGAUUUGGUUCACUUCCUGCAGCGGUUUGGGUUUGUGGUCCAGAUGUUUACCAGUUCCUCCCACCCAACUGGUGUGGAGUUCAUCCCCUUGGCCGUCUCUUACCUGAUGUCCUCGUGGUCGGUAAUCGGACUUAUUCUCUGCCCUAUUACCCAUGUGCCCACAUUCCGGUGUCCACCGUGGAUCUGAGGCCAAAGCAGGAGUCAGGAUAAACCAAUGGGACAAAGGCGUGGCAGCUGGUCUUCCCAUGUGGGCUCUUCCUAAAUGGGCUCAUGACAUUGAUGAUCCAGCUGUAGAUCUGGAGGAUGGAACCAAAUGGGUGACAGAAGGCUUUGGUGCUGUUUCUGUGCAAAUCAAAGCCCUCACAGAUGUUGUCCUUCAGAACGGUGCAGCUCUAGAUGACAUGCUGGCAUCCUCAGGAGCUGUUUGUCACAUAAUAGGACAAGAAUGCUGCACUUUUAUCCCCGACGUCUCAGGAACUUUGACCUAUGUAGUCAAUCACUUAAACGAGCUUCUAAUUCGACAGUUUAAUGGUGAUGUGCCCCCCCCCCCCGAAGGAUUCUCCCUUUGGCAGUGGCUGACCUCUGGCCCAUGGGGGCAGGUUUUCCUUACAGUAGUGAGCCCAUUCCUUGCCGUCUGUGUUGUUGUGUUUGUGUUCCUGCUGCCUUGGUCCUCUGAUCAGGAACAGGAUUUCCUCCAGACUCAGUCCCACCCUCCUGACCUAUCAGCUGGUCCACACUGACUCUAAACCUGGCCCUCAGACUCCGCCCUCUUCUUAUUUGGACCCCUCCCAUUUCUCUGACUCCGGCUGAGACGCCGUCUUUGAAGCUCCCAGCCGGUUUGUAAAUGUGUUGUUUUCACUUCCUAGUCAGCUCGCUCAUACUGUGCGCCUUAUGCACACCAAAAAAAGCGCUUCCAUUCUGGACACAAAGAUUUUCUACUUCCAGCCCAUGACGUCUCAUCUGAAACCUGUGAGGGUGUCAUGUGACUGAGCUGGAAUUCUGUGAAGGUCCAACCAUAUGUUAUUGUUUCUAUAUCUGACAUAUUUUUUUUACUAUUUUAUACUAACGUUGUUAUGAUCGAUGAUAUUUUUGUGUAUUUUUCUUUCACGUUUAGUUGAUCCUGACGGAACAAAGGGAGGAAUGUUUAUACUGAUUUGAUUUGAAUGCUGACCAGAAGUCUUCUGUUCUUGGAAUUGUCACAGAUCUAAUUAUUGAUAAUAGAUAGGAAGUCACAUAUGGGCUUUCAUUUGGUGCCGUGACCUUUGACCUGGAGUGACCUUGAAAGGUCAAACAAAUGUCAAUUAAAGUCUUUAAAUAUGGACUACAAGACCCUUGGUCAAAUAUAUAUAUAUACAUAUA
This is a long non-coding RNA of Sphaeramia orbicularis (orbiculate cardinalfish), 2633 nucleotides long. RefSeq lists it as uncharacterized. The transcript has 3 exons. The record is from RefSeq and is a predicted model, not a curated record. Lineage: Eukaryota; Metazoa; Chordata; Actinopteri; Kurtiformes; Apogonidae.